This 253-nucleotide ribosomal RNA is filed under the name uncultured bacterium. Its description in RNAcentral is "partial 16S ribosomal RNA". It matches the Rfam family "Bacterial small subunit ribosomal RNA", at positions 524 to 776 of the family's 1533-position model. The record is from RNAcentral.
UACGUAGGGGGCAAGCGUUGUCCGGAUUUAUUGGGCGUAAAGGGCUUGUAGGUGGCCAACUAAGUCAGACGUGAAAUCCCUCGGCUUAACCGGGGAACUGCGUCUGAUACUGGAUGGCUCGAGUUUGGGAGAGGGAUGCGGAAUUCCAGGUGUAGCGGUGAAAUGCGUAGAUAUCUGGAGGAACACCGGUGGCGAAGGCGGCAUCCUGGACCAACACUGACACUGAAAAGCGAAAGCCAGGGGAGCAAACGGG